UGGGAGAACAAAUUGAGUACCGAGAUGGCAAUACAUAUAUAUAUAUAUAUAUAUAUAUAUAUAAAUAUAUAUAUAUAUAUAUGUAUUGCCAUCUCGGUACUCAAUUUGUUCUCCCA
Molecule: non-coding RNA, 116 nt
Organism: Pelobates cultripes (western spadefoot toad)
Lineage: Eukaryota; Metazoa; Chordata; Amphibia; Anura; Pelobatidae
Source: the annotation of a GenBank genome assembly